GAAAUGCGAUAAGUAAUGUGAAUUGCAGAAUUCAGUGAAUCAUCGAAUCUUGGAACGCACAUUGCGCCCGCCAGCACUCUGGCGGGCAUGCCUGUUCGAGCGUCAUUUCAACCCUCAGAACCCCUUGCGGGAUCUGGCGUUGGGGAUUGGCAUCCAGCCAGCCCCGAAAUCUAGUGGCGGUCCCUCCGCGACCUCCCCUGUGCAGUAGCGAUACCUCGCAGCGGGACAGCGGUCUGACCACGCCGUAAAACCCCCAACUUCUCAAGGUUGACCUCGAAUCAGGUAGGAAUACCCGCUGAACUUAAGC
Molecule: unclassified non-coding RNA, 307 nt
Filed under: plant metagenome
Description: partial contains 5.8S ribosomal RNA, internal transcribed spacer 2, and large subunit ribosomal RNA
Rfam family: 5.8S ribosomal RNA (bases 1-105)
Source: RNAcentral